Molecule: long non-coding RNA, 240 nt
Organism: Gopherus evgoodei (Goodes thornscrub tortoise)
Lineage: Eukaryota; Metazoa; Chordata; Testudines; Testudinidae
Exons: 2
Source: RefSeq, a predicted model, not a curated record
CGCCCCUCCGCCAGCCUCAUGGCCCCGCAGCUACCGCUCACCCGGCCGCUGAGUGCCGCAUGCGGCCGACGGCGCGAGGAGGUGGCAGGCUAGGAACAAGAACCCUUUUGAAAUGAAAAAAAAGAGAAGAGUCUCAAAUGCCACAUUGUGAGAGAUGCACGAAAACUUCGAGAAUUGACAAUGAUGCUAAGGUGACCUUCCUAAGUUUCAAGGAAAUAAAAAUCCACUAUGAAAAACACA